AUACAUGGUCGUACAGAGGGUUGCCAAGCCGCGAGGCGGAGCCAAUCCCACAAAGCCGAUCGUAGUCCGGAUUGUUCUCUGCAACUCGAGAGCAUGAAGUCGGAAUCGCUAGUAAUCGCAGGUCAGCAUACUGCGGUGAAUACGUUCCCGGGUCUU
Molecule: ribosomal RNA, 156 nt
Filed under: uncultured Thiobacillus sp.
Lineage: Bacteria; Pseudomonadati; Pseudomonadota; Betaproteobacteria; Nitrosomonadales; Thiobacillaceae
Description: partial 16S ribosomal RNA
Rfam family: Bacterial small subunit ribosomal RNA
Source: RNAcentral